RNAcentral lists this ribosomal RNA (496 nucleotides) under uncultured bacterium. RNAcentral describes it as "partial 16S ribosomal RNA". It matches the Rfam family "Bacterial small subunit ribosomal RNA", at positions 28 to 506 of the family's 1533-position model. The record is from RNAcentral.
GAUGAACGCUGGCGGCGUGCCUAAUACAUGCAAGUCGAGCGAACGGACGAGAAGCUUGCUUCUCUGAUGUUAGCGGCGGACGGGUGAGUAACACGUGGAUAACCUACCUAUAAGACUGGGAUAACUUCGGGAAACCGGAGCUAAUACCGGAUGAUAUUUUGAACCGCAUGGUUCAAAAGUGAAAGACGGUCUUGCUGUCACUUAUAGAUGGAUCCGCGCUGCAUUAGCUAGUUGGUAAGGUAACGGCUUACCAAGGCAACGAUGCAUAGCCGACCUGAGAGAGUCAUCGGCCACACUGGAACUGAGACACGGUCCAGACUCCUACGGGAGGCAGCAGUAGGGAAUCUUCCGCAAUGGGCGAAAGCCUGACGGAGCAACGCCGCGUGAGUGAUGAAGGUCUUCGGAUCGUAAAACUCUGUUAUUAGGGAAGAACAUAUGUGUAAGUAACUGUGCACAUCUUGACGGUACCUAAGCAGAAAGCCACGGCUAACUACGU